This 424-nucleotide ribosomal RNA is filed under the name uncultured Oscillibacter sp. Its description in RNAcentral is "bacterial SSU rRNA". It matches the Rfam family "Bacterial small subunit ribosomal RNA", at positions 355 to 794 of the family's 1533-position model. The record is from RNAcentral. Lineage: Bacteria; Bacillati; Bacillota; Clostridia; Eubacteriales; Oscillospiraceae.
UGGGGAAUAUUGGGCAAUGGGCGCAAGCCUGACCCAGCAACGCCGCGUGAAGGAAGAAGGCUUUCGGGCUGUAAACUUCUUUUAAGAGGGAAGAGCAGAAGACGGUACCUCUAGAAUAAGCCACGGCUAACUACGUGCCAGCAGCCGCGGUAAUACGUAGGUGGCAAGCGUUGUCCGGAUUUACUGGGUGUAAAGGGCGUGCAGCCGGGUCUGCAAGUCAGAUGUGAAAUCCAUGGGCUCAACCCAUGAACUGCAUUUGAAACUGUAGAUCUUGAGUGUCGGAGGGGCAAUCGGAAUUCCUAGUGUAGCGGUGAAAUGCGUAGAUAUAUGGAGGAACACCAGUGGCGAAGGCGACGGUCUGGGCCGCAACUGACGCUCAUUCCCGAAAGCGUGGGGAGCAAAUAGGAUUAGAUACCCUGGUAGU